UACGGAGGGUGCAAGCGUUAAUCGGAAUCACUGGGCGUAAAGCGCGCGUAGGCGGUCUUUUAAGUCGGACGUGAAAGCCCUCGGCUCAACCGGGGAAUUGCGUUCGAAACUGGGAGACUUGAGUCCUGGAGAGGGUGGCGGAAUUCCGGGUGUAGGAGUGAAAUCCGUAGAUAUCCGGAGGAACACCGGUGGCGAAGGCGGCCACCUGGACAGGUACUGACGCUGAGGCGCGAAAGCGUGGGGAGCAAACAGG
This 253-nucleotide ribosomal RNA is filed under the name uncultured bacterium. RNAcentral's name for it is "partial 16S ribosomal RNA". It matches the Rfam family "Bacterial small subunit ribosomal RNA", at positions 524 to 776 of the family's 1533-position model. The record is from RNAcentral.